RNAcentral lists this ribosomal RNA (995 nucleotides) under uncultured bacterium. RNAcentral's name for it is "bacterial SSU rRNA". It matches the Rfam family "Bacterial small subunit ribosomal RNA", at positions 355 to 1375 of the family's 1533-position model. The record is from RNAcentral.
UGGGGAAUAUUGCACAAUGGGGGAAACCCUGAUGCAGCGACGCCGCGUGGAGGAAGAAGGUCUUCGGAUUGUAAACUCCUGUUGUUGAGGAAGAUGAUGACGGUACUCAACAAGGAAGUGACGGCUAACUACGUGCCAGCAGCCGCGGUAAAACGUAGGUCACAAGCGUUGUCCGGAAUUACUGGGUGUAAAGGGAGCGCAGGCGGGCGAUCAAGUUGGAAGUGAAAUCCAUGGGCUCAACCCAUGAACUGCUUUCAAAACUGGUCGUCUUGAGUAGUGCAGAGGUAGGCGGAAUUCCCGGUGUAGCGGUGGAAUGCGUAGAUAUCGGGAGGAACACCAGUGGCGAAGGCGGCCUACUGGGCACCAACUGACGCUGAGGCUCGAAAGUGUGGGUAGCAAACAGGAUUAGAUACCCUGGUAGUCCACACCGUAAACGAUGAUUACUAGGUGUUGGGAGAUUGACCCUCUCAGUGCCGCAGUUAACACAAUAAGUAAUCCACCUGGGGAGUACGACCGCAAGGUUGAAACUCAAAGGAAUUGACGGGGGCCCGCACAAGCAGUGGAGUAUGUGGUUUAAUUCGACGCAACGCGAAGAACCUUACCAAGUCUUGACAUCCUCUGACGAACGUAGAAAUACGUUUUCUCUUCGGAGCAGAGAGACAGGUGGUGCAUGGUUGUCGUCAGCUCGUGUCGUGAGAUGUUGGGUUAAGUCCCGCAACGAGCGCAACCCUUAUGGUCAGUUACUACGCAAGAGGACUCUGGCCAGACUGCCGUUGACAAAACGGAGGAAGGUGGGGAUGACGUCAAAUCAUCAUGCCCUUUAUGACUUGGGCUACACACGUACUACAAUGGCGUUAAACAAAGAGAAGCAAGACCGCGAGGUGGAGCAAAACUCAGAAACAACGUCCCAGUUCGGACUGCAGGCUGCAACUCGCCUGCACGAAGUCGGAAUUGCUAGUAAUCGUGGAUCAGCAUGCCACGGUGAAUACGUUCCC